RNAcentral lists this ribosomal RNA (71 nucleotides) under Haptolina ericina. RNAcentral's name for it is "partial Bacterial small subunit ribosomal RNA". The record is from RNAcentral. Lineage: Eukaryota; Haptophyta; Prymnesiales; Prymnesiaceae.
UUGAAGAGUUUGAUCAUGGCUCAGAUUGAACGCUGGCGGCAGGCCUAACACAUGCAAGUCGAACGGUAACA